AGAGUUUGAUCAUGGCUCAGAACGAACGCUGGCGGCAGGCUUAACACAUGCAAGUCGAACGCCCCGCAAGGGGAGUGGCAGACGGGUGGGUAACACGUGGGAACGUACCUUUCGGUUCGGAAUAACUCAGGGAAACUUGAGCUAAUACCGGAUACGUCCGCAAGGAGAAAGAUUUAUUGCCGAAAGAUCGGCCCGCGUAGGAUUAGCUAGUUGGUGAGGUAAUGGCUCACCAAGGCGACGAUCCUUAGCUGGUCUGAGAGGAUGAUCAGCCACACUGGGACUGAGACACGGCCCAGACUCCUACGGGAGGCAGCAGUGGGGAAUAUUGGACAAUGGGCGAAAGCCUGAUCCAGCCAUGCCGCGUGAAUGAUGAAGGCCUUAGGGUUGUAAAGUUCUUUCAACGGUGAAGAUAAUGACGGUAACCGUAGAAGAG
RNAcentral lists this ribosomal RNA (433 nucleotides) under uncultured Methylosinus sp. RNAcentral describes it as "bacterial SSU rRNA". It matches the Rfam family "Bacterial small subunit ribosomal RNA", at positions 8 to 489 of the family's 1533-position model. The record is from RNAcentral. Lineage: Bacteria; Pseudomonadati; Pseudomonadota; Alphaproteobacteria; Hyphomicrobiales; Methylocystaceae.